RNAcentral lists this ribosomal RNA (482 nucleotides) under uncultured bacterium. Its description in RNAcentral is "partial 16S ribosomal RNA". It matches the Rfam family "Bacterial small subunit ribosomal RNA", at positions 30 to 507 of the family's 1533-position model. The record is from RNAcentral.
AUUGAACGCUGGCGGCAUGCUUUACACAUGCAAGUCGAACGGUAACAGGCCGCAAGGUGCUGACGAGUGGCGAACGGGUGAGUAAUGCAUCGGAACGUGCCCAGUCGUGGGGGAUAACUACUCGAAAGAGUAGCUAAUACCGCAUACGAUCUAUGGAUGAAAGCGGGGGACCGUAAGGCCUCGCGCGAUUGGAGCGGCCGAUGUCAGAUUAGGUAGUUGGUGGGGUAAAGGCUCACCAAGCCAACGAUCUGUAGCUGGUCUGGGAGGACGACCAGCCUCACUGGGACUGAGACACGGCCCAGACUCCUACGGGAGGCAGCAGUGGGGAAUUUUGGACAAUGGGCGCAAGCCUGAUCCAGCAAUGCCGCGUGCAGGAAGAAGGCCUUCGGGUUGUAAACUGCUUUUGUACGGAACGAAACGGCUCUGGUUAAUACCCGGGGCUAAUGACGGUACCGUAAGAAUAAGCACCGGCUAACUACGUG